RNAcentral lists this small nuclear RNA (84 nucleotides) under Crocodylus porosus (Australian saltwater crocodile). RNAcentral's name for it is "U4 spliceosomal RNA (ENSCPRG00005009580.1)". It matches the Rfam family "U4 spliceosomal RNA". From Rfam's summary of the family: U4 small nuclear RNA (U4 snRNA) is a component of the major U2-dependent spliceosome. The structure of U4 snRNA from yeast and human has been reported. U4 snRNA presents a k-turn RNA motif in the 5p-SL related to recognition of Snu13 protein. Lineage: Eukaryota; Metazoa; Chordata; Crocodylia; Crocodylidae. The record is from RNAcentral.
UGCUUUGUUCAGUGGCAGUAUCGUAGCCAAUGAGGUUAAUCUGAGGCGCGAUUAUUGCUAGUUGAAAACUUUGCUUUGGAUUAG